GGCUCUGCGAAAAAAGAGAGUCCUGGGAGGGAGGCCUAGAGGACGGAGGAUGGCGGCGGAUGCAGGAAAGAGGCACCGGCCGAGAGGAGGAGGAGGAGAGCGGCCUCUCCAUAGCAGCAGCCUUUAUACACAUCAAAGAAUCCACUCGGGAGAAAAACCAUAUCAAUGCCUGGAUUGUGGCAAACGUUUGUCUUCAAAGAAAACCCUUUAUUCACAUCAAAGAAUCCACACUGGAGAAAAACCACAUGCAUGUCUAGAAUGUGGAAAGAGCUUCAUUCAGAGAGGAAAUCUUUACAUACAUCAAAGAAUCCACACUGGAGAGAAACCCUAUAAUCGCCCUAAAAUUGUGUUUCCACCAAAAUAAGCCCCAGUGAUUAUUUUGGGACCCAAAAGAAAAUAAGGCCGGGUGUUACUUUUGGCGAAUAUGGAUCUUGAGCCUGUAAUUUAGGGUGUUGGCUAUUCCUACCCUCUUAGUAUCAUCUGCAAAUUUGAUGAGGAGUCCUAUUCCCUCAUCUAAGUCGUUUAUGAAGAUAUUGAAGGGUACUGGGCCUAAGACGCAACCUUCUGGUUCCCCACUGCUUCCUUCCCUCCAUGUAGGUGUAUUCCCAUUAAGGAUCACCCAAUGUGUCAGCCAAUUACAAAUCAAUCCAUCCAACCCAGUCAUGAGUUUCAUCCCACCACAUUUUAGUAAUAGCAACUAUAUUAUGUACCUUCGUGUAUUAGCAUUUCAACUUCACCCUGUUUCUUCCCUAAACUUUGAGCGUUCAUAUAUAGGGAUUUGAGUCCUUUAUGGAUCUUGGGUAUGUUUCUUAUAUCUCCUACUUUGUAUCUCGGUUUUCCAUCCUUUCCAUCACUCUCUACUUCACUGUGCUUUUCCUUUUUUUCCUUCUUCUUUCUCUUUACUCCCUGCCUCUUGUAUGAAUGGUUAUCUAGCAGUUUUUGCUUGGAAUCGGGUUCUAGAGGUCUUGAAGAUUGGAGACCCUUCCCACUCCACUUUCUAACUUCAAAAUAAAGAACUUUUUCAAUCGUACAUACUAGGCAUUUCAACUGGCUGAAAUUGUACCUUCUCAGAACAGUUUUAUGUGAUUCCUUUCCCCAUGCAAACCUUCUCCUUUUAAUACAAUGCCCUUUUCAAUGGUUAUGCUUAAUAUGAUAGGAUGUUUAAUUCACUGUCUCUGUCUCUGAUGUAACUGUGAGGAUUUCUUCCAUCCAAUCAACUGUUUUGUACUUUUCCUACUGAAUGGAGUGUAAAAUGAAACCUGAGUCUGCCCUGGGCUCCUUUUUUCAUUAAGGGAAACCUCUUUGCUAGAUUACUCUAAAGGUGCCUUUAAAUGAUCUGCCAACUCUGUGCCUAAUUGAAACAAGUGUGCUGUGGUAGAAUCCAGGUGUCAGACCUGUCCCAACCUGGUACCUUAAGAAAGACCCAUCAGAAUGAAGCAAAGAGUACAAACCGAUUCCGGGUUUCUCUGCUCUUCAUCGCCUUUCAUUUCCCCCCUCCUUAUUUCCCAUCACAUUCAAUCAUAUUGUCCAUUUGUCCACCUCCCCAAUGCAUCUCCAAAUGGCAGGACCUAACACUAGGGUGUUUGAUAUAAUCUAUGUGGGUUGUCCAAAUAUCAAUAUCAUGUAAGACCAUCCCUAGACAUCUGAACCUCUUGUCAAUUGAAUUCUCUCAAUGGUCCCCUUGUCUUCCAGCAGAAACCGCUACAAGGGACUCUCAUAGAUGACUAUUGGAAUGCUGCCAUUUUAGUGCGGGAGGGGCGUGGUCUGGGUACAUUCCUCGCUGUAUAACCUCUUUCUUUCCUAUCCUGUACUUUUAUUUUCCUUCUUGGGAAUGAAAGGGGGGAGGGAUUGAAUUGAGGGCCAUCUGUUAGACAUGAGCCUCCAGCAAGGGACUCCUGAGAACUUAUUGCUUUCUCUGCCUGCAGUUCUCAAAACAACUUGGCGCCUGCGGAUUGGCUUAUCCUACACCGGACUGAGGGUGAGAUAUCUCUUUUAAUCUGAGGGAAUUGCGUGGGAAUCCUCAGAUCCUGCUUUCUUUGUCUUGCUAUCACUCUCUCAAGAGUUUCCUUUUGAAAUGCCAAUCGUCUCGAGAGUUGUACUUCCUUGAGCGGAAAGGAGAUGCAAGUCCUUAAACUCUCUUAAGGCCAACAAAGCUUUGUGAGAUACUAUUCUCAGCACAUAGGAGAAAUAUAUCUGGGCCCAGGGAUUGAGGCAGGUGUAAGUAGGAGAUGGUCGGUUGACCUUGUCGAGGAGUGGAGGUGGAGAUCCAAAUACAGCCCUGCGAGACUUCUGAAGAGGAGGGUUAACACAUUUCAUACAAUUGCUGAAUGAGAAAAACCAUCUGUACUGCAUUUUCCAAGUUCCUCAUAAUGAUUUCUUUGAAAAUGGACUCAAAUGUAGAUUUAAAAUCAACACAGGCUACAUGCAGAAAUUUUGUCCAUACCAUUUUAUUUAGGUUAGUCAUAAAUCAAACUCUACACCCAGCACAUUGUGCAAGAACUCCUUGUGGAUGCCAUUUAGUUCCGUCAGUUUUAAUCAGUUCGACGGUAAAUUGAGAUUAUUUGAAUUUACUUAUAUAAAAAGGUACCCUUUUUGCUACAACAGGUGGAUUCGAUCAUUCAUCUCGUCCUUCUCUGAAACUUGUGAAAUAGUGUUUGAGGGGCUCAAACCGGGCCCAGUAUUUCUCAUGGUGUUUGACUGGAGCAGGUGGAACAAUUCUUGGCCUCUGGUUUGUGGCCACAAUCUCUUUUUAUGAGAGGGCAAUUUCUGGUUCCAUAUUCUCCUUCAGGAAGGGUUUCAGCUGCAACCAGGAUUGCCCCAGAGAGGGGGCAACUGAUAGGCCAGCUUGGACUCAACCUGGAAGUAACGAAGGCUGAACUUAAGACGACAGACAAAUCCCCAGAAAUCCAGCUCUUCUCAACACACUUAUAUCUUUACGAUUUAUAUUGUUUUGUUUCCUAAUGUGAUUUGAUUGCUUAUUUGAUAUCCAAUGAAUAUCGCUAAGUGUUGUAUCUUAUCUCUUGAAUGUAUUUUUAACGUACUUGAUGAAUGUAUUAUUUAUUAUUAUAUUAAUAAUGGCAUCAGUCGGAACCCUGACAUUAUUUACACUUGAGAGAAUAUGCACCAAAGACAAAUUCCUUGUGUGUCCAAUCACACUUGGCUAAUAAAGAAUUCUAUUCUA
Molecule: non-coding RNA, 3181 nt
Organism: Pantherophis guttatus
Lineage: Eukaryota; Metazoa; Chordata; Lepidosauria; Squamata; Colubridae
Source: RefSeq, a predicted model, not a curated record